Non-coding RNA from Phodopus roborovskii (desert hamster), 411 nucleotides. The record is from the annotation of a RefSeq genome assembly. Lineage: Eukaryota; Metazoa; Chordata; Mammalia; Rodentia; Cricetidae.
AGCGUCAGCAUGCUAGUCCUUGCUGAGCUCCUGGGGCUACUGCUGCUCUGGCUUGCAGGUGUGAAAUGUGACAUCCAGAUGACCCAGUCUCCAUCCACUCUGUCUGCAUCUCUGGGAGAGAGUGUCACCAUCACUUGUCAUGCCAGCCAGAACAUUAAUAGUUGGUUAGCCUGGCACCAACAGAAGCCAGGGAAUGCUCCUAAACUCUUAAUCUCCAAGACAUCCAACUUGCAUACAGGGAUCCCAACAAGGUUCAGUGGCAGUGGAUCUGGGACAGACUACUCUCUAACCAUCAGCAACUUGCAGCCUGAAGACAUUGCCACUUAUUAUUGUCAACAGGAUCAAAGUGUUCCUCUCACAGUGAUACAAGUCAUAACACAAACCUCCAGGAGUGUGGCGAAGCAAGACUGA